RNAcentral lists this ribosomal RNA (362 nucleotides) under Aquimarina celericrescens. RNAcentral's name for it is "bacterial SSU rRNA". It matches the Rfam family "Bacterial small subunit ribosomal RNA", at positions 1 to 360 of the family's 1533-position model. Lineage: Bacteria; Pseudomonadati; Bacteroidota; Flavobacteriia; Flavobacteriales; Flavobacteriaceae. The record is from RNAcentral.
ACGAUGAAGAGUUUGAUCCUGGCUCAGGAUGAACGCUAGCGGCAGGCCUAACACAUGCAAGUCGAACGGUAACAGCAGAGCUUGCUCUGGCUGACGAGUGGCGCACGGGUGCGUAACGCGUAUACAAUCUACCUAUUACUGGAGUAUAGCCCGAAGAAAUUUGGAUUAAUCCUCCAUAGUAUUAUUGAAUGGCAUCAUUUAAUAAUUAAAACUACGGUGGUAAUAGAUGAGUAUGCGUCCUAUUAGUUUGUUGGUAAGGUAACGGCUUACCAAGGCAUCGAUAGGUAGGGGUCCUGAGAGGGAGAUCCCCCACACUGGUACUGAGACACGGACCAGACUCCUACGGGAGGCAGCAGUGAGGA